AAAAGUAGAGGUCGCGCCUGACAUGAGGAAACCGGCGGAUGCGGGGGACAGAGAAGCCGGGGAAGGGGAUGGCGCCGAAGGCUGGUUCACUUCCCCAAAGGGGCUGUGCCUGGGCAUAUGGUGAAGAACCAUAUGACUGUCAUCUUAGUGCAGAUAAGGUGGAGGGCUACGUGA
This 174-nucleotide non-coding RNA is filed under the name human gut metagenome. RNAcentral describes it as "Lysine riboswitch". It matches the Rfam family "Lysine riboswitch aptamer". From Rfam's summary of the family: Riboswitches are metabolite binding domains within certain messenger RNAs that serve as precision sensors for their corresponding targets. Allosteric rearrangement of mRNA structure is mediated by ligand binding, and this results in modulation of gene expression. RNAcentral also lists the same sequence under 1 other name. The record is from RNAcentral.